CCACCGCGUUCUGUCGCGCCCCGACAGUUCCGCGCAUCGUUCACUGCCGGGCGACAAACAGCCGGGAAAGACGUGCACAGAAGUAUGGAACCGACUCGCGACGCAGUGAGCUCGCAUUCCUUGCGGUCGCGUUCGCUCGCCUGUGUGUAGUCGCAGCUGAGAAGACGACAGCGCGACCUUCGUCAUCCGGCCUGUCGAUCGUGGCCUGCCGAAGCUGGAAGCUGAACCUGCGGUCAUGUCCCGGCUGGUCGCGUCCCGAACUGCCGCGCCACAGUGCGAUCCAGCGCGCAUGUAGGCUUCAACACACUGCACGCAACUACGUUCCUGGCACGCUGUCACCGCAGGUCCGAUACGACGAACGCGUCGUUGAGGGGGCGUUGGGCCCUUGAGCAAAACCGGAGCCGCUGGGCAGCAGCCUUUCACGGGAGUGUCGGCCGGCCAGUCGGGAAGCAUGCCUGCUGCCAUGGAAGAACCGAGGUUGCAACUAAGGUUUUGACCCCGAGCAGGAGAGACGUCCUUGCCUUGCCAUCAGCUGGUCCCCGUAUUACACCUGCCAAGUCGUCGCCGUCGAUGACAUGUGCUACGCGCGCGUUCCGGGAGUCCCCUCGGUCCUUGGCUGCGCAGCGCCGGGACCGGCCCAGCUUUAGCGGCGGCCAGCCUCCACCCGCGCUUGCCAGCGACAGGCGCCGUGCAUCCGACCGAGCUGCCGCCACGCGGCAGAGCGCGGCGCGACGCUGGGGCCAGCAGGUCGUGCGCCGGCGUGAGCUACUGAACGGCGCGGCGUCCGCCAUUGCGAGGAUGCUGCAGCACGCGUUCCAGUCUUCGAUGGCAUGACGGCGUCUGUCUCCAUAGUUCUAGACUUCCAGUUUUCCGAUGUUUCUUGUUUGGUGUAACCAGUAGGACGUCCGAAACCGUUGUCCUCAUCCAUUCUGUGAUCUGCCAUUGAGAUCCCUGCUGCCAGAAGGUUCCUAAAGAUGUGAUUCGAAGGUGGAUGCACACGGCGACCCACUUCAUCCCUUUCAACAUCCUCAGCUGUUGCGUCCACUUUUCUUGCUCUUUCUUUUUUCUCCCCAAAUUGUCCAGCAUUUGCUCCCCUACAUCACAACGCUGGCUUUUGUGGUCAGCUGUGGCGACAACCCCUCAACACACGCCGUCCAUGAACACCGCCGAGAUCUUAGCAACGGCGUUCGACCCGCAUUUGAUUGCUUUUUUUAGGCUUUUAAUAAACUUGCAUCGUUCAUUGUCAGUCUACUUCACGCAUUCUGUUCGUAGUCUGCAAUAUACCUUCCUCGUAAGCGCUACGCACACUCGUUAAUUUCAUCGCAAUUAUCUUCGUUUAUUCCUUUUUUUUUUUCUUGUUAUCGAAGAACACAAAGUCCGCAACGCCAUCGAUUUGAAGUUUUCGGUUAAGCUUGCAUCGCUUUAAUGAAGGAAUGAGUAAAAUGUGUCUGCUCUCCAGGAGCGAACUCUUUUCAUCUCUUGUUUUACACUAGUGGCAAGAGAAUAACAUUUGUAUUGUUGUGUUCAUUUGCUAAUGUAUUAUUAAUGUGUUGAUGUGAUUGCGUGUUGAUUUGUUGUUGUUGGACUUGCGUCUCCGAUCUGGGUACAAUAAAUGUGCUGAGAGCAUAUAUACAAAAAAAAAAAUACAAGGGCGGGGGAUUGUGUACAUGGUUUAUGCGUCUCGAAUUAGAUUGGUAGACGAUUGCACGCGUUGUGCAGAUGUGUGUACGGCUUCUACAGAAGGCAAAUUGUCUUCUACAAUUCGAUUUUAGUUCUUUCGAAAUUUCAAUUAAAGCAUUUCUAUUCUUUU
Molecule: long non-coding RNA, 1810 nt
Organism: Dermacentor andersoni
Lineage: Eukaryota; Metazoa; Arthropoda; Arachnida; Ixodida; Ixodidae
Source: RefSeq, a predicted model, not a curated record